GAGUUUGAUCCUGGCUCAGGACGAACGCUGGCGGCGUGCCUAACACAUGCAAGUCGAACGGAGUUACUUUGGUGAAGUUUUCGGAUGGAUCUGAUUUAACUUAGUGGCGGACGGGUGAGUAAUGCGUGAGCAACCUGCCCUUCAGAGGGGGACAACAGUUGGAAACGACUGCUAAUACCGCAUAAGCCCACAGGUCGGCAUCGACCAGAGGGAAAAGGAGCAAUCCGCUUUGAGAUGGCCUCGCGUCCGAUUAGCUAGUUGGUGAGGUAAUGGCCCACCAAGGCAACGAUCGGUAGCCGGACUGAGAGGUUGAACGGCCACAUUGGGACUGAGACACGGCCCAGACUCCUACGGGAGGCAGCAGUGGGGAAUAUUGCACAAUGGGGGAAACCCUGAUGCAGCGACGCCGCGUGGAGGAAGAAGGUCUUCGGAUUGUAAACUCCUGUUGUUGAGGAAGAUAAUGACGGUACUCAACAAGGAAGUGACGGCUAACUACGUGCCAGCCGCCGCGGUAAUAC
RNAcentral lists this ribosomal RNA (518 nucleotides) under uncultured bacterium. Its description in RNAcentral is "bacterial SSU rRNA". It matches the Rfam family "Bacterial small subunit ribosomal RNA", at positions 9 to 526 of the family's 1533-position model. The record is from RNAcentral.